This 107-nucleotide ribosomal RNA is filed under the name Jaculus jaculus (lesser Egyptian jerboa). Lineage: Eukaryota; Metazoa; Chordata; Mammalia; Rodentia; Dipodidae. The record is from RNAcentral.
GUCUAUGGCCAUAUCACGCUGAACAUGCACAAUCUCAUCUGAUCUUGGAUGCUAAGCAGGGUCAGACCGAGUUAGUACUUGGAUAGGAGAAAACAGUAAAACAGAAA